RNAcentral lists this transfer RNA (72 nucleotides) under Vibrio cholerae. Its description in RNAcentral is "tRNA-Arg". It matches the Rfam family "tRNA". From Rfam's summary of the family: Transfer RNA (tRNA) molecules are approximately 80 nucleotides in length. Their secondary structure includes four short double-helical elements and three loops (D, anti-codon, and T loops). Further hydrogen bonds mediate the characteristic L-shaped molecular structure. tRNAs have two regions of fundamental functional importance: the anti-codon, which is responsible for specific mRNA codon recognition, and the 3' end, to which the tRNAs corresponding amino acid is attached (by aminoacyl-tRNA synthetases). tRNAs cope with the degeneracy of the genetic code in two manners: having more than one tRNA (with a specific anti-codon) for a particular amino acid; and 'wobble' base-pairing, i.e. permitting non-standard base-pairing at the 3rd anti-codon position. The record is from RNAcentral. RNAcentral also lists the same sequence under 3 other names. Lineage: Bacteria; Pseudomonadati; Pseudomonadota; Gammaproteobacteria; Vibrionales; Vibrionaceae.
GCGUCCGUAGCUCAGCUGGAUAGAGUACCUGGCUACGAACCAGGCGGUCAGAGGUUCGAAUCCUCUCGGACG